CGAGGAAGACUAGUGUUAUUCAUCUUUAUUAGGUUUAAAGGGUACCUAGACGGCAUAUCAAGCCCCAAAAGGGAACAGAUAUACUAGAGUUUUAUGUGAGAGGAAUAUAUUAGUACUAUUGGUGUAGAGAUGAAUUCUUUGAUACUAAUAGGACGGAUAAGAGCAAAAGACAAACCUUUAUGUAAAAACUAGACGUUGAGGGACGAAGGCUUGGGUCGCGAAUAGGAUU
RNAcentral lists this ribosomal RNA (229 nucleotides) under uncultured bacterium. RNAcentral describes it as "partial 16S ribosomal RNA". It matches the Rfam family "Bacterial small subunit ribosomal RNA", at positions 526 to 779 of the family's 1533-position model. The record is from RNAcentral.